ACAUCUUGUGUCGAGCUCAUAACUUCUUCUCACAACUUUCAAUCCAUUCUCACAACUUUUAAUUGAGUCUUCAUUUGUGCUAGUGAGAGAGAUAUUGUGAGCUUUUUCAAUCCAUUCUCACAACUUUCAUUCAUAUCCCUAGCAUCUUCUUCUCCUCUUCCUAAAAUGAUAAACAUAGACUGAAAAAGGUCCCCUUAUAGGUGCGUCAUCAAGUCUUCAUUACACAUCCUCAUGGCAUUUGAGUUACUUCUCCAUCAGUCUGCCCAUUCUCUUCAUAAUCAAGAGGAAUAAAAUAUGGUAUUCUACCAUACCAGAUCAUGCCAAAAAAUAAAUUGUUUUCACCACUCCAGUUCACACACUACUAUGGCACAUUCAAAAUUGUCAAAGAAUGAUUAUUUCGCUAAGUCUUUAUCCAUUCACUCCUUCAGUUCAUUAAAUGAUUGUGCUGCCUUUUCAUGGAAACAAAAUUCAGAACAUAAACUUAUAAAUGCAAAUGCAAAUUUUAGCAAGUCCAAAAAAUCCUAAUUACCACUUCAUCAGAGUGAGUCCAAAUCAGUUAGCUGAAACUUUGACAGCAUUGAAUGUUUAACCAUAUCAAAUCAUUUACGAACAACAAAUGAAAGGCAACAAGUAAAUCCACCAGGAAAAAGAGCUAAUGACAUCAAUAAACAAUAUACUAAGGCAAUUUAAAUGCCUUACUAUAUAUAACCUCAGAAGGUUUUAUGGCCAGACUCAGGGCCAUGGUCUCAAAUUAUUAAAAAAAAAACCCAAAUCAGAUAAGGAGACGAGAAUCAAAUAUUGUUAAGUUGGACACUCCAAAUUUUAGAGUUUUCUGACACGUUGGACGCUUGAACACUUGGGAAUUUAUGACACUCUUUGACACUUCAUACCAUCAAAUCAUGAUGGCAUCAUGAUUAUAUAUUUUCUUUUGGCACUUCUAUAUAAAAUAUAUCAGGUCUAACAUAACAAUUAGCAACCACUCUACCAAGCUUGAUGAACAUAAGAAGCAUAGAUCUAGCUCCCCAUUCAUCAUACAUAAAUACAUAUUUUUAAAGAUGCACCUAUCCUCAUGGUCACAUUUUAGAAGAUCCUAGUGUCAGAUUCUUCUAGAAACUUGGAUACCUAACAUCCAUGUCACAUGUUCAAGUAGCAUUAGAAUGCACUCUCUAACCCCAUAUGUGUCCCUAGCCAAGCACAAAAAGAGGUGGCAAUGGAAUUAAAAGGACUAUAUAUGGCAUCUCAAUUAAGAGAGGAUUGCAAGUAGUGGAACCAACUUCCGUUAAUAGUUAAUAUUUUUAAGAAAAAAUUAAGAUCCUGUCCUAGUGUGUAAUUGUGAGACCCAAGAUUUGGAAACUUGGAAUGGCAAGAUGUAGAGGUAAAGGAAAUUGCCACAUUCAUCCACCAACUAAAAUAUGACAUAACAAAGCUGCCUUACCAUAAGGUACUUAUCUUUUAAGUCACAGGCAGCCCCCUCAAGAAUAAUAAUUAUAAAUUGGCAUGAAAGUGCAGCAUGAUAAGUGUUUGCAUGCACGAUGAAAAUUAGGAUUUCACGAUGAAUCUCUCCAAGCAACAUCUUGUCCAAAUUGACAGACUCAAAUAUUCUAUAAAUACUGAAAAAAUCAAAACAAAACAAUUUGUUCUACAUAGUCUCUUCACCACCAAUUUACCAAAAUUCUAUAGUAUAAGCAUGAAUG
This 1694-nucleotide long non-coding RNA is filed under the name Phoenix dactylifera (date palm). RNAcentral's name for it is "long non-coding RNA (PDAC_LNC014089)". The record is from RNAcentral. Lineage: Eukaryota; Viridiplantae; Streptophyta; Magnoliopsida; Arecales; Arecaceae.